This 696-nucleotide ribosomal RNA is filed under the name uncultured bacterium. RNAcentral describes it as "bacterial SSU rRNA". It matches the Rfam family "Bacterial small subunit ribosomal RNA", at positions 32 to 715 of the family's 1533-position model. The record is from RNAcentral.
AACGCUAGCUACAGGCUUAACACAUGCAAGUCGAGGGGAAACGACAUCGAAAGCUUGCUUUUGAUGGGCGUCGACCGGCGCACGGGUGAGUAACGCGUAUCCAACCUGCCCACCACUUGGGGAUAACCUUGCGAAAGUAAGACUAAUACCCGAUGAUAUCCCUAGAAGACAUCUGAAAGGGAUUAAAGAUUUAUCGGUGAUGGAUGGGGAUGCGUCUGAUUAGCUUGUUGGCGGGGUAACGGCCCACCAAGGCAACGAUCAGUAGGGGUUCUGAGAGGAAGGUCCCCCACAUUGGAACUGAGACACGGUCCAAACUCCUACGGGAGGCAGCAGUGAGGAAUAUUGGUCAAUGGGCGAGAGCCUGAACCAGCCAAGUAGCGUGCAGGACGACGGCCCUAUGGGUUGUAAACUGCUUUUAUAAGGGAAUAAAGUGAGUCUCGUGAGACUUUUUGCAUGUACCUUAUGAAUAAGGACCGGCUAAUUCCGUGCCAGCAGCCGCGGUAAUACGGAAGGUCCGGGCGUUAUCCGGAUUUAUUGGGUUUAAAGGGAGCGUAGGCCGGAGAUUAAGCGUGUUGUGAAAUGUAGACGCUCAACGUCUGCACUGCAGCGCGAACUGGUUUCCUUGAGUACGCACAAAGUGGGCGGAAUUCGUGGUGUAGCGGUGAAAUGCUUAGAUAUCACGAAGAACUCCGAUUG